RNAcentral lists this ribosomal RNA (1518 nucleotides) under uncultured prokaryote. Its description in RNAcentral is "partial 16S ribosomal RNA". It matches the Rfam family "Bacterial small subunit ribosomal RNA". The record is from RNAcentral.
AUUGAACGCUGGCGGCAUGCCUAACACAUGCAAGUCGAACGGAAACGAUGGUAGCUUGCUACCAGGCGUCAAGUGGCGGACGGGUGAGUAACGCGUAGGAAUCUGCCCAGUAGUGGGGGACAACCAGGGGAAACCCUGGCUAAUACCGCAUACACUCUACGGAGAAAAGGAGGCCUCUUCUUCGGACCUCGCGCGCUAAGAUGAGCCUGCGUCGGAUUAGCUAGUUGGUGAGGUAAUGGCUCACCAAGGCGACGAUCCGUAGCUGGUCUGAGAGGACGACCAGCCACACUGGGACUGAGACACGGCCCAGACUCCUACAGGAGGCAGCAGUGGGGAAUAUUGGACAAUGGGCGCAAGCCUGAUCCAGCAAUACCGCGUGUGUGAAGAAGGCCUGAGGGUUGUAAAGCACUUUCAAUUGUGAAGAAAAGCCUGAGGUUAAUAGCCUCGAGUCUUGACGUUAACUUUAGAAGAAGCACCGGCUAACUCUGUGCCAGCAGCCGCGGUAAUACAGAGGGUGCGAGCGUUAAUCGGAAUUACUGGGCGUAAAGCGUACGUAGGCGGUUUAGUAAGUCAGAUGUGAAAGCCCUGGGCUCAACCUGGGAACUGCAUUUGAAACUACUGAACUAGAGUGUGGUAGAGGUAAGUGGAAUUUCAGGUGUAGCGGUGAAAUGCGUAGAUAUCUGAAGGAACACCAGUGGCGAAGGCGGCUCUCUGGACCAAUACUGACGCUGAGGUGCGAAAGCGUGGGGAGCAAACAGGAUUAGAUACCCUGGUAGUCCACGCCGUAAACGAUGUCUACUAGCCGUUGGGAGGCUUGACCUCUUAGUGGCGAAGCUAACGCGAUAAGUAGACCGCCUGGGGAGUACGGUCGCAAGAUUAAAACUCAAAUGAAUUGACGGGGGCCCGCACAAGCGGUGGAGCAUGUGGUUUAAUUCGAUGCAACGCGAAAAACCUUACCAGGCCUUGACAUCCAGAGAACUUUCUAGAGAUAGAUCGGUGCCUUCGGGAACUCUGUGACAGGUGUUGCAUGGCUGUCGUCAGCUCGUGUCGUGAGAUUUUGGGUUAAGUCACGUAACGACCGCAACCCUUAUCCUUAUUUGCCAGCACAUAAUGGUGGGAACUAUAAGGAGACUGCCGGUGAUAAGCCGGAGGAAGGCGGGGAUGACGUCAAGUCAUCAUGGACCUUACGGCCUGGGCUACACACGUGCUACAAUGGACAGUACAGAGGGAUGCUAAGCCGCGAGGUGGUGCUAAUCUCAUAAAUCUUUUCGUAGUCCGGAUCGGAGUCUGCAAUUCGACUCCGUGAAGUCGGAAUCGCUAGUAAUCGUGGAUCAGAACGCCACGGUGAAUACGUUCCCGGGCCUUGUACACACCGCCCGUCAUACCAUGGGAGUGGGUUGCACCAGAAGUAGCUAGUCUAACUGUUUACAGGGGACGGUUACCACGGUGUGACUCAUGACUGGGGUAAAGUCGUAACAAGGUAGCCCUACCGGAAGGUGGGGCUGGAUCACCUCCUUA